This 174-nucleotide ribosomal RNA is filed under the name uncultured bacterium. Its description in RNAcentral is "partial 16S ribosomal RNA". The record is from RNAcentral.
UCGAUUAUUGGGUUAAGGGUGCGUAGGCGGCCCUGCUAAGCUCAGUGGUGAAAUAUCGCAGCUCAACUGUGAGGGUGCCAUUGAUACUGCAGGAAUUGGCGGGGGAGCACACAGGGGGACACAUCGUGUUUCGCUGAAAUGCGUAAUAUCGUGAGGAAUUGGCGGGGGAGCACA